Molecule: transfer RNA, 89 nt
Filed under: Actinomycetota bacterium
Lineage: Bacteria; Bacillati; Actinomycetota
Description: tRNA-Ser
Rfam family: tRNA
About the family: Transfer RNA (tRNA) molecules are approximately 80 nucleotides in length.
Source: RNAcentral
GGAGACGUGCCUGAGUGGCCGAAAGGAGCCGCCUGCUAAGCGGUUAGGGGGGUGAAACUCCCUCGGAGGUUCGAAUCCUCCCGUCUCCG